AUUCUGAUAUUGUUAGUCCGAAUUUAUUUUCAUCAUGGCCUCAGGUUUUAGUCCACGUUCUUCUUGUGUUCUGCAGUCUACAGAGCAAGAUAUCACAUUCCAUCGACAAUCAACAUCGCUUAUAUAUCCUCGAUAAAAUGGACUAGCAGCAGUUACAGCCAACUGUCGAAUUUUAAACAAAUGUUCUGUAACGUAUGUGCGAAAGAAUAUGCUAACUUCAUGUCUUCAGAAUUUAUGAAAACAUAAUUAUUAUUUACAUAUUACUGACCAUUAUUGGACAUAAAGGUGUUAAUUGAUCAUAUAAAGUUCUUGCUUCUUCUAUAUUGCAAGCCUGGAAA
This is a long non-coding RNA of Apis florea (little honeybee), 338 nucleotides long. The record is from RefSeq and is a predicted model, not a curated record. NCBI's taxonomy places the organism in Eukaryota, Metazoa, Arthropoda, Insecta, Hymenoptera, Apidae.